UCCCAUAGGACACAUGCCCCACC
Molecule: non-coding RNA, 23 nt
Filed under: Arabidopsis thaliana (thale cress)
Lineage: Eukaryota; Viridiplantae; Streptophyta; Magnoliopsida; Brassicales; Brassicaceae
Source: RNAcentral